This 369-nucleotide ribosomal RNA is filed under the name uncultured bacterium. Its description in RNAcentral is "bacterial SSU rRNA". It matches the Rfam family "Bacterial small subunit ribosomal RNA", at positions 29 to 425 of the family's 1533-position model. The record is from RNAcentral.
AACGAACGCUGGCGGCAGGCCUAACACAUGCAAGUCGAACGCCCUAGCAAUAGGGAGUGGCAGACGGGUGAGUAACACGUGGGAACCUUCCCUAUAGUACGGAAUAUACCAGGGAAACUUGGAGCAAUACCGUAUACGCCCGAGAGGGGAAAGAUUAUCGCUAUAGGAUGGGCCCGCGUAGGAUUAGCUAGUUGGUGAGGUAAUGGCUCACCAAGGCGACGAUCCUUAGCUGGUUUGAGAGAACGACCAGCCACACUGGGACUGAGACACGGCCCAGACUCCUACGGGAGGGCAGCAGUGGGGAAUAUUGGACAAUGGGCGCAAGCCUGAUCCAGCCAUGCCGCGUGAAGUGAUGAAGGCCUUCGGUUG